Molecule: ribosomal RNA, 252 nt
Filed under: uncultured bacterium
Lineage: Bacteria
Description: partial 16S ribosomal RNA
Rfam family: Bacterial small subunit ribosomal RNA
Source: RNAcentral
UACGUAGGGGCAAGCGUUGUCCGGAAUCAUUGGGCGUAAAGAGCGCGUAGGCGGCCCUGUAAGUCCGCUGUGAAAGUCAAGGGCUCAACCCUUGAAUGCCGGUGGAUACUGCAGGGCUAGAGUCCGGAAGAGGCGAGUGGAAUUCCUGGUGUAGCGGUGGAAUGCGCAGAUAUCAGGAGGAACACCUAUAGCGAAGGCAGCUCGCUGGGACGACACUGACGCUGAGACGCGAAAGCGUGGGGAGCGAACAGG